GAUGAAACGCUAGCUACAGGCUUAAACACAUGCAAGUCGCAGGGGUAACGUGAGGGGAAAGCUUGCUUCCUUGACGACGACUGGCGCACGGGUGAGUAACGCGUAUCCAACCUUCCCAUGACCACGGGGAUAACCCGUUGAAAGACGGCCUAAUACCGUAUGACGUCGUUUGCCGACAUCGAAAAGACGACCAAAGGGUUUGGCGGUGAUGGAUGGGGGAUGCGUCUGAUUAGCUUGUUGGCGGGUAACGGCCCACCAAGGCGACGAUCAAUAGGGGUUCCUGAGAGGAAGGUCCCCCCACAUUGGGAACUGAGACACGGUCCAAACUCCUACGGGAGGCAGCAGUGAGGAAUAUUGGGUCAAUGGGCGAGAGCCUGAACCAGCCAAGUAGCGUGCAGGAUGACGGCCCUAUGGGUUGUAAACUGCUUUUACGCGGGGAUAAAGUGCGUGACGUGUCUCGCAUUGCAGGUACCGCGUGAAUAAGGACCGGCUAAUUCCGUGCCAGCAGCCGCGGUAAU
Molecule: ribosomal RNA, 518 nt
Filed under: uncultured Prevotella sp.
Lineage: Bacteria; Pseudomonadati; Bacteroidota; Bacteroidia; Bacteroidales; Prevotellaceae
Description: bacterial SSU rRNA
Rfam family: Bacterial small subunit ribosomal RNA
Source: RNAcentral